Molecule: ribosomal RNA, 1503 nt
Filed under: Enterobacter sp.
Lineage: Bacteria; Pseudomonadati; Pseudomonadota; Gammaproteobacteria; Enterobacterales; Enterobacteriaceae
Description: bacterial SSU rRNA
Rfam family: Bacterial small subunit ribosomal RNA
Source: RNAcentral
GGUUCAAUUGAACGCUGGCGGCAGGCCUAACGUAACAUGCAAGUCGAGCGGUAGCACAGAGAGCUUGCUUUCGGGUGACGAGCGGCGGACGGGUGAGUAAUGUCUGGGAAACUGCCUGAUGGAGGGGGAUAACUACUGGAAACGGUAGCUAAUACCGCAUAACGUCGCAAGACCAAAGAGGGGGACCUUCGGGCCUCUUGCCAUCAGAUGUGCCCAGAUGGGAUUAGCUAGUAGGUGGGGUAAUGGCUCACCUAGGCGACGAUCCCUAGCUGGUCUGAGAGGAUGACCAGCCACACUGGAACUGAGACACGGUCCAGACUCCUACGGGGGAUUAGGCAGCAGUGGGGAAUAUUGCACAAUGGGCGCAAGCCUGAUGCAGCCAUGCCGCGUGUAUGAAGAAGGCCUUCGGGUUGUAAAGUACUUUCAGCGAGGAGGAAGGCAUUGUGGUUAAUAACCGCAGUGAUUGACGUUACUCGCAGAAGAAGCACCGGCUAACUCCGUGCCAGCAGCCGCGGUAAUACGGAGGGUGCAAGCGUUAAUCGGAAUUACUGGGCGUAAAGCGCACGCAGGCGGUCUGUCAAGUCGGAUAACCGUGAAAUCCCCGGGCUCAACCUGGGAACUGCAUUCGAAACUGGCAGGCUAGAGUCUUGUAGAGGGGGGUAGAAUUCCAGGUGUAGCGGUGAAAUGCGUAGAGAUCUGGAGGAAUACCGGUGGCGAAGGCGGCCCCCUGGACAAAGACUGACGCUCAGGUGCGAAAGCGUGGGCCCUUAAGAGCAAACAGGAUUAGAUACCCUGGUAGUCCACGCCGUAAACGAUGUCGACUUGGAGGUUGUUCCCUUGAGGAGUGGCUUCCGGAGCUAACGCGUUAAGUCGACCGCCUGGGGAGUACGGCCGCAAGGUUAAAACUCAAAUGAAUUGACGGGGGCCCGCACAAGCGGUGGAGCAUGUGGUUUAAACAUUCGAUGCAACGCGAAGAACCUUACCUACUCUUGACAUCCAGAGAACUUAGCAGAGAUGCUUUGGUGCCUUCGGGAACUCUGAGACAGGUGCUGCAUGGCUGUCGUCAGCUCGUGUUGUGAAAUGUUGGGUUAAGUCCCGCAACGAGCGCAACCCUUAUCCUUUGUUGCCAGCGACCUUGGUUCGGCCGGGAACUCAAAGGAGACUGCCAGUGAUAAACUGGAGGAAGGUGGGGAUGACGUCAAGUCAUCAUGGCCCUUACGAGUAGGGCUACACACGUGCUACAAUGGCAUAUACAAAGAGAAGCGACCUCGCGAGAGCAAGCGGACCUCACAAAGUAUGUCGUAGUCCGGAUCGGAGUCUGCAACUCGACUCCGUUGGAACUGAAGUCGGAAUCGCUAGUAAUCGUAGAUCAGAAUGCUACGGUGAAUACGUUCCCGGGCCUUGUACACACCGCCCGUCACACCAUGGGAGUGGGUUGCAAAAGAAGUAGGUAGCUUAACCUUCGGGAGGGCGCUUACCACUUUGUGAUUCAUGACUGGGGUG